ACAGUGUGGUAAACAUGAUGGACGAGAAAUGUAUGUGUGUGUGUUUGAGUAAUCUGAAUGUGUUUUGCGUGAACCACAAGGAUUUCGAAGAAGGCUCGUCUUCUGGGUUGUUGCGCCGUGUAGUCCGUAGAAAUUCAUCGACGUUUGAAAGGUCUUUGCUGCCUCCAUCAUCAGGGUUACCCUGGUUACUACGUUACUGCUUACACCAGAAUAUAUGCAGAAUUUUAUAAACUGUUUCUUCAGAAUGAUACAUCUGUUAAGUCUCAGGCGGUUUGCAAGGUUUAGUUGUAACAGAACAGCUGAAGAAGGUGACUGAGGGAAUCAGAUUCCUGGACAAGGAAUUGCAGAGACAGGUUAUGGCUAAUCAUGAAGAUCUUCUUUAACAAGCAACAUGUAUUGAAAAACUGGGUGGGGUGCUUAUGUAGAGACAUAUCAAGGUAGGUUACUUCUAAGUCUGCUAGUAACACAGAAUCCUGCUUCACAUCUGUCAAAGUUCUCAUGUCUUCUUGUGCCUUGCAGAUAAUACAUAGUAUAUUGUAUUAACUUUUUGCAGCCUUUGAACCUUUGUAUGAAAAUUAUCAUACAAUAAGAUUCACGUGUGUCUGUGUGUGUAGUAAACUGUAACGCAUGUUGUAUGUAGAAUGUAUUUUAAGUUGCAAGGGUGCAUGUUAUUUUCCACUUUCCUGUAAAAAUUAGCCCAAAAUAACAGUUGUUUUUGGUGGUUGUGGUGGUUGAUUAUAUUGCGAACAUGACUGUUUAUUUUUGAUUAAUAAUGAUUUAAUGAUCGAAGAGUCUGUUUCUUUAGUGGCAGAGGUAGUUUUGUUUUGUAUCAGAUAUUACAUUUGAUGAUCUGAGUACAGGUAUACCUUGGAGAUAUUGUGGGUUCAGUUCCAGACCAAUGCAAUAAAGCGAGUCACUCAAAUUUUUUGGUUUCCCAGUGCAUAUGAAAGUUAUGUUUACACUAUAAUGUAGUCUAUUAAGUAUGCAAUAGCUUUAUGUCUAAAAAAUGUGAGAAUUACCAAAAUGUGACACAGAGACACGAAGUGAGCACAUGCUGUUGGAAAAAUGGCGCCAAUAGACUUGCUUGACGCAGGGAUGCCACAAACCUUCAAUUUGUAAAAAAACGCAAUAUCUGCGAAGUGCAAUAAAACGAGGUAUGCCUGUACUGCUAUUCUACAGGAUGGGUGGGAAGUAAGUAGUCAUUGAUAAAUGGUUAUAACCUCUAUAUUUCCAAUGCAAAGCAAUUAUUUAAUGCUUACUUACUUCCCACCCACUCUUUAUAUUGUAUUCUGUCAUUCUUUGAGUUAUUGUGCAGAUUGUUGGCAUUCUCAAAUUGUCAUCAUUUUAACAUGGUAAUUUUAUUCUGGUUUGGGGAAUUAUUAUUGUAUGGUUUACUCCACCAUUUUCUUGCACCUCUUGCUGUAGGAAUAUGUACAUUAUAUAAAUGGGUAUUUAUUUUUCUUUGUGUAUAAUAAUUACUGUAUUUGGCUGCUAUAUUUAAUACUGUACAUGUAUAAGUUUAGUUAAUCCAUUUGUGUAAUAUUUUUCAUUAUUAUUGUAUGUAUUAU
Zootermopsis nevadensis is the source of this 1568-nucleotide long non-coding RNA. RefSeq lists it as uncharacterized. Lineage: Eukaryota; Metazoa; Arthropoda; Insecta; Blattodea; Termopsidae. The record is from RefSeq and is a predicted model, not a curated record.